Molecule: non-coding RNA, 104 nt
Organism: Acanthosepion pharaonis
Lineage: Eukaryota; Metazoa; Mollusca; Cephalopoda; Sepiida; Sepiidae
Source: the annotation of a GenBank genome assembly
UUACGGACAUAUCACGUUGAAACACCGGUCCCUGAAGGAUCACCGAAGUUAAGCAACAUCGAGCCUGGUCAGUACCUGAGUGAGUAACCGUUUGUGAAUACCAG